CAAUAGCACUUCUCGCGAGAUUUAGCCGCUGCUUCCGACUUCCUCUUUAGGGUUCGCCCCCGUCUGUUGCUAAGGCGCCGGUUGCCUGGUUACCGUGAAGCGCUGGCCGCCAGCUUCCCUUGCGCUCGCUUCUAGCCAGCGGUGCUGAGUCUUCCGAGCCCCGUGACAGGGGCAGCAGGGAGAAGCAAGGCCAUCCCUGCAACCGCCAGUCAUCAUUACAAAUUAAAGUCUUACGGCCAAAGCCAAUCCCAGGUAUCGCCAAAGUUCAAACGCUUGCUGUUCAAAGGAACAGAAAGCGGCCAGCGCUAAACAAUCCAGAGGAAAAAUCUCCAAAUGCCACGCCGGUUCUUGAAUAUAGAUGCCAUAUGAAAAAAGGCUCGAAAACCUCUUGGCCCCAAAGCUGUGAGGCUUUUGGAAUCAGAUAAAAUUACGCCUCCAACUUCCCUGGGUCUUCAGCUUGCAGAUGGCAGAUCGUGGGAUGUCUUGGCCUCCGUAAUCAAUUGCCGAUGGGGUGCUGGAAGCCCGGCCAGCACAGUGCCACAGGGCGAACUGCGGACAGCUGUAGGGGUUGCAAAGGGGAGGAGGUGCAUUCUGCUUCCACUGACCAGACAGAUGGCCUACGACGUGUGAGCUGGGAGGCAGGUGUGGGCUUUAUCUCUGACCCGGCACAGCCGACUGCGGGAAAGGCCUGCAGCGGGGUAGGUGGCUCGCCUCGAAUGCGUCCAGACUACGGAACAGGUUUGUUUUUCCUGCCAGCAGAUGCUUGUUUUGAACUGUUGAAGAGCUCUGGUGGAAGAGAGCUCCCAAGCAGGAGCCCAUGGAAAAUGCAUGGCCAGGAUGUCAGCAACUGCGUCACAGCUGCACUUUGGAAAGGGGUGAUGGCUUUGAACAAUGCACGCGCGUUCACAUGACAAACCAUUAAGAUUCCAGCCGGGUAAACAGCAUGUGUUCUCCACCGGGUUGCUCCUCGGCCUCCAGCACAGUGUACGCGGGGACCCGUCUCACCGGUUCAGCAAUCGUGGGGCUCACUUUUAGAUUUUGUGGGGUGCUGUGGAUGCUGUGUUUGAUCAUGGAGCAAUGGACUCUCCUCCCAAAUAAAAAGAUGAUUUCUUCAUAGGUUUCUUGUACCUGUCAAGAGGACUCUUCGGUCGCUAAAGUUACUGUGGGCUUACAAGGGUUGACAU
Phyllostomus discolor (pale spear-nosed bat) is the source of this 1184-nucleotide long non-coding RNA. RefSeq lists it as uncharacterized. Lineage: Eukaryota; Metazoa; Chordata; Mammalia; Chiroptera; Phyllostomidae. The record is from RefSeq and is a predicted model, not a curated record. The transcript is spliced from 3 exons.